AGUGAACGCUGGCGGUAGGCCUAACACAUGCAAGUCGAACGGCAGCACAGUAAGAGCUUGCUCUUACGGGUGGCGAGUGGCGGACGGGUGAGGAAUACAUCGGAAUCUACUUUUUCGUGGGGGAUAACGUAGGGAAACUUACGCUAAUACCGCAUACGACCUACGGGUGAAAGCAGGGGAUCUUCGGACCUUGCGCGAUUGAAUGAGCCGAUGUCGGAUUAGCUAGUUGGCGGGGUAAAGGCCCACCAAGGCGACAAUCCGUAGCUGGUCUGAGAGGAUGAUCAGCCACACUGGAACUGAGACACGGUCCAGACUCCUACGGGAGGCAGCAGUGGGGAAUAUUGGACAAUGGGCGCAAGCCUGAUCCAGCCAUACCGCGUGGGUGAAGAAGGCCUUCGGGUUGUAAAGCCCUUUUGCUGGGAAAGAAAAGCAGCAGGUUAAUACCCCGCUGUUCUGACGGUACCCAAAGAAUAAGCACCGGCUAACUUCGUG
This 492-nucleotide ribosomal RNA is filed under the name uncultured bacterium. RNAcentral's name for it is "partial 16S ribosomal RNA". It matches the Rfam family "Bacterial small subunit ribosomal RNA", at positions 29 to 507 of the family's 1533-position model. The record is from RNAcentral.